GCCAUGUUUGCCUAGUGGUUAGAGUGUCGGUUUCAGAUGCAGGAGGUCACGGGUUUGAAUCCCGGCCGAGUCAUACCAUAGGCU
Potamilus streckersoni is the source of this 84-nucleotide non-coding RNA. NCBI's taxonomy places the organism in Eukaryota, Metazoa, Mollusca, Bivalvia, Unionida, Unionidae. The record is from the annotation of a GenBank genome assembly.